RNAcentral lists this ribosomal RNA (147 nucleotides) under Cercozoa sp. RNAcentral's name for it is "partial small subunit ribosomal RNA". It matches the Rfam family "Eukaryotic small subunit ribosomal RNA", at positions 1296 to 1462 of the family's 1831-position model. Lineage: Eukaryota; Cercozoa. The record is from RNAcentral.
AGUUGGUGGAGUGAUUUGUCUGGUUUAUUCCGUUAACGAACGAGACCUCAACCUACUAAAUAGUUUGGCGAACAACUUUGUUCGUACAAUACUUCUUAGAGGGACUAUCGGUGUGUAGCCGAUGGAGGUUUGAGGCAAUAACAGGUC